This 493-nucleotide ribosomal RNA is filed under the name uncultured bacterium. RNAcentral describes it as "bacterial SSU rRNA". It matches the Rfam family "Bacterial small subunit ribosomal RNA", at positions 28 to 510 of the family's 1533-position model. The record is from RNAcentral.
GAUGAACGCUAGCGAUAGGCCUAACACAUGCAAGUCGAGGGGCAUCACAUGAAGUAGCAAUACGGAUGGUGGCGACCGGCGCACGGGUGAGUAACACGUAUGCAACCUGCCUUCAACAAGGGGAUAACCCGUUGAAAGACGGACUAAUACCCUAUAACACAGGGGUCCCGCAUGGGAAUAUUUGUUAAAGGACAACCGGUUGAAGAUGGGCAUGCGUUCCAUUAGCUAGUUGGCGGGGUAACGGCCCACCAAGGCAACGAUGGAUAGGGGAACUGAGAGGUUUAUCCCCCACACUGGUACUGAGACACGGACCAGACUCCUACGGGAGGCAGCAGUGAGGAAUAUUGGUCAAUGGACGCAAGUCUGAACCAGCCACGUCGCGUGAAGGAAGACGGCCCUACGGGUUGUAAACUUCUUUUAUACGGGAAUAAAGUGCCCCACGCGUGGGGUUUUGCAUGUACCGUAUGAAUAAGGAUCGGCUAACUCCGUGCCA